This 852-nucleotide ribosomal RNA is filed under the name Agromyces sp. VC-YC6665. RNAcentral's name for it is "bacterial SSU rRNA". It matches the Rfam family "Bacterial small subunit ribosomal RNA", at positions 88 to 948 of the family's 1533-position model. Lineage: Bacteria; Bacillati; Actinomycetota; Actinomycetes; Micrococcales; Microbacteriaceae. The record is from RNAcentral.
GGAUUAGUAGGCGAACGUUUGAGUAACACGUUGAGUAACCUGCCCUGGACUCUGGGAUAAGCGUUGGAAACGACGUCUAAUACCGGAUAGGACCCUGUACCGCAUGGUGUGGGGUGGAAAGUUUUUCGGUUUGGGAUGGACUCGCGGCCUAUCAGCUUGUUGGUGAGGUAAUGGCUCACCAAGGCGUCGACGGGUAGCCGGCCUGAGAGGGUGACCGGCCACACUGGGACUGAGACACGGCCCAGACUCCUACGGGAGGCAGCAGUGGGGAAUAUUGCACAAUGGGCGAAAGCCUGAUGCAGCAACGCCGCGUGCGGGAUGACGGCCUUCGGGUUGUAAACCGCUUUUAGUAAGGAAGAAGCCUUCGGGUGACGGUACUUGCAGAAAAAGGACCGGCUAACUACGUGCCAGCAGCCGCGGUAAUACGUAGGGUCCGAGCGUUGUCCGGAAUUAUUGGGCGUAAAGAGCUCGUAGGCGGUUUGUCGCGUCUGCUGUGAAAACUAGAGGCUCAACCUCUAGCCUGCAGUGGGUACGGGCAGACUUGAGUGGUGUAGGGGAGACUGGAAUUCCUGGUGUAGCGGUGGAAUGCGCAGAUAUCAGGAGGAACACCGAUGGCGAAGGCAGGUCUCUGGGCACUUACUGACGCUGAGGAGCGAAAGCGUGGGGAGCGAACAGGAUUAGAUACCCUGGUAGUCCACGCCGUAAACGUUGGGCGCUAGAUGUGGGGACCUUUCCACGGUUUCCGUGUCGUAGCUAACGCAUUAAGCGCCCCGCCUGGGGAAGUACGGCCGCAAGGCUAAAACUCAAAGGAAUUGACGGGGGCCCCCCACAAGCGGCGGAACAUGCGGAUUA